GAUGAACGCUGGCGGCGUGCCUAAUACAUGCAAGUCGAGCGAACGGACGAGAAGCUUGCUUCUCUGAUGUUAGCGGCGGACGGGUGAGUAACACGUGGAUAACCUACCUAUAAGACUGGGAUAACUUCGGGAAACCGUAGCUAAUACCGGAUAAUAUUUUGAACCGCAUGGUUCAAAAGUGAAAGACGGUCUUGCUGUCACUUAUAGAUGGAUCCGCGCGGCAUUAGCUAGUUGGUAAGGUAACGGCUUACCAAGGCAACGAUGCAUAGCCGACCUGAGAGGGUGAUCGGCCACACUGGAACUGAGACACGGUCCAGACUCCUACGGGAGGCAGCAGUAGGGAAUCUUCCGCAAUGGGCGAAAGCCUGACGGAGCAACGCCGCGUGAGUGAUGAAGGUCUUCGGAUCGUAAAACUCUGUUAUUAGGGAAGAACAUAUGUGUAAGUAACUGUGCACAUCUUGACGGUACCUAAUCAGAAAGCCACGGCUAACUACGUG
Molecule: ribosomal RNA, 497 nt
Filed under: uncultured bacterium
Lineage: Bacteria
Description: partial 16S ribosomal RNA
Rfam family: Bacterial small subunit ribosomal RNA
Source: RNAcentral